ACCAUCGUUUAACGGCCGCGACUAAGUGCUAAGGUAGCAUAAUAAUUUGUCUUUUUAUUGGAGACUAGAAUGAAAGAAGAUAACGAGGCUUAACUGUCUCCAAGCAACCUAUUAAAAUUGAUUUAAGAGUGAAAAAUCUCGUAUACUAGUGAAGGACGAAAAGACCCUGUAGAGUUUGUAGUGAAAUUAAUAAAUUAAUUAAUUCACUUUUAUUGGGGCAAUAAAAGAUCAAAUUUAAACUCUUUUAAAAGGUUUUUGACAUAUCAAAAAAAAGAUCCUCAAAGAGAAAAAAGAAAAACUACCUCAGGGAUAACAGCGUAAUUCUUCCAGAGAGAUCUAAUUGAAGGAAUGAGUUUGCGACCUCGAUGUUGGACUAAGGUAACUUUUAAAUGCAGAAGUUUAUUAAAGUAAGCCUGUUCGGCUUUUAAAACCUUACAUGAUCUG
This 444-nucleotide ribosomal RNA is filed under the name Bugula neritina. RNAcentral describes it as "partial large subunit ribosomal RNA". It matches the Rfam family "Bacterial large subunit ribosomal RNA", at positions 1916 to 2607 of the family's 2925-position model. The record is from RNAcentral. Lineage: Eukaryota; Metazoa; Bryozoa; Gymnolaemata; Cheilostomatida; Bugulidae.